This 434-nucleotide ribosomal RNA is filed under the name uncultured bacterium. Its description in RNAcentral is "bacterial SSU rRNA". It matches the Rfam family "Bacterial small subunit ribosomal RNA", at positions 28 to 495 of the family's 1533-position model. The record is from RNAcentral.
GAUGAACGCUGGCGGAGUGCCUAAGGCAUGCAAGUCGAACGGGACCUGUAGCAAUGCAGGUCUAGUGGCAGACGGGUGAGUAACGCGUGGGAACGUACCUAAAAGUGGGGGACAACACAGCGAAAGCUGUGCUAAUACCGCAUGUGAACGCAAGUUCAAAGCCGCAAGGCGCUUUUAGAUCGGCCUGCGUCCCAUCAGCUAGUUGGUAGGGUAAUGGCCUACCAAGGCGACGACGGGUAGCUGGUGUGAGAGCAUGACCAGCCACAACUGCACUGAGACACGGGCAGUACACCUACGGGUGGCAGCAACCGGGAAUAUUGGACAAUGGACGAAAGUCUGAUCCAGCGACUCCGCGUGAGGGAUGAAGGCCUUCGGGUUGUAAACCUCUUUUGUAUGGGAAGAAAAAAUAGACGGUACCAUACGAAUAAGGACCU